Spea bombifrons (plains spadefoot toad) is the source of this 277-nucleotide long non-coding RNA. RefSeq lists it as uncharacterized. The transcript has 3 exons. NCBI's taxonomy places the organism in Eukaryota, Metazoa, Chordata, Amphibia, Anura, Pelobatidae. The record is from RefSeq and is a predicted model, not a curated record.
GUCAGUUUCUGGUCGCAAGCAGCUGCAGCUUGGCAUUCUUAAAUCCCCUUAAAGAUUUUAGCAAAGAAUUUCCCUAGAUGAAACCGACAGCUGCACAGAAGAUUCAACAGCAAAAUGGAUUUGGAGAACUAUGGUCAUGUUGGGGGAUAUUAUGUGCAACACUCUGCAGGGAGACUUAACCCCGUCCCUCUCAGCUUGAUGGCCUGUUAUCCUGCUUUCACUUCUGAACCUCACCACUAGGGGGAAAGCAUUAAGAGAGCGUGAAGCAUAUGCAUGA